GCAUAUCAAUAAGCGGAGGAAAAGAAACCAACAGGGAUUGCCCUAGUAACGGCGAGUGAAGCGGCAACAGCUCAAAUUUGAAAUCUGGCGCAAGCCCGAGUUGUAAUUUGUAGAGGAUGCUUCUAGGUAGCGACCGGUCUAAGUUCCUUGGAACAGGACGUCAUAGAGGGUGAGAAUCCCGUAUGUGACUGGCCCGCACCUUCUACGUAGCUCCUUCGACGAGUCGAGUUGUUUGGGAAUGCAGCUCUAAAUGGGAGGUAAAUUUCUUCUAAAGCUAAAUACCGGCCAGAGACCGAUAGCGCACAAGUAGAGUGAUCGAAAGAUGAAAAGCACUUUGGAAAGAGAGUUAAAAAGCACGUGAAAUUGUUGAAAGGGAAGCGCUCACAACCAGACUUCUGGGCGGUGUUCCGCCGGUCUUCUGACCGGUCUACUCACCGUCCCGAGGCCAACAUCAUCUGGGACCGCCGGAUAAGACCUUAGGAAUGUAGCUCCCCUCGGGGAGUGUUAUAGCCUGUGGUGAUGCGGCGCGUCUCGGGUGAGGUCCGCGCUUCGGCAAGGAUGUUGGCGUAAUGGUUGUCAGCGGCCCGUCUUGAAACACGGACCAAGGAGUCUAACAUCUAUGCGAGUGUUCGGGUGUCAAACCCCUACGCGUAAUGAAAGUGAACGGAGGUGGGAAGGGUAACCUGCACCAUCGACCGAUCCUGAUGUCCUCGGAUGGAUUUGAGUAAGAGCAUAGCUGUUGGGACCCGAAAGAUGGUGAACUAUGCCUGAAUAGGGUGAAGCCAGAGGAAACUCUGGUGGAGGCUCGCAGCGGUUCUGACGUGCAAAUCGAUCGUCAAAUUUGGGUAUAGGGGCGAAAGACUAAUCGAACCAUCUAGUAGCUGGUUCCUGCCGAA
This 896-nucleotide ribosomal RNA is filed under the name Ramularia mali. Its description in RNAcentral is "LSU rRNA". It matches the Rfam family "Eukaryotic large subunit ribosomal RNA", at positions 38 to 965 of the family's 3401-position model. Lineage: Eukaryota; Fungi; Ascomycota; Dothideomycetes; Mycosphaerellales; Mycosphaerellaceae. The record is from RNAcentral.